Molecule: ribosomal RNA, 468 nt
Filed under: uncultured bacterium
Lineage: Bacteria
Description: partial 16S ribosomal RNA
Rfam family: Bacterial small subunit ribosomal RNA
Source: RNAcentral
GACGAACGCUGGCGGCGUGCUUAACACAUGCAAGUCGAACGGAAAGGCCCUGCUUUUGUGGGGUGCUCGAGUGGCGUACGGGUGAGUAACACGUGAGUAACCUGCCCUUGACUUUGGGAUAACUUCAGGAAACUGGGGCUAAUACCGGAUAGGAGCUCCUGCUGCAUGGUGGGGGUUGGAAAGUUUCGGCGGUUGGGGAUGGACUCGCGGCUUAUCAGCUUGUUGGUGGGGUAGUGGCUUACCAAGGCUUUGACGGGUAGCCGGCCUGAGAGGGUGACCGGCCACAUUGGGACUGAGAGACGGCCCAGACUCCUACGGGAGGCAGCAGUGGGGAAUAUUGCACAAUGGGCGGAAGCCUGAUGCAGCAACGCCGCGUGCGGGAUGACGGCCUUCGGGUUGUAAACCGCUUUCGCCUGUGACGAAGCGUGAGUGACGGUAAUGGGUAAAGAAGCACCGGCUAACUACGUG